AGAAUCAACGCUGGCGGCGUGCCUAACACAUGCAAGUCGCACGAGAAAGGGACUUCGGUCCUGAGUACAGUGGCGCACGGGUGAGUAACACGUGAAUCAUCUACCUCCGAGUGGGGAAUAACCUAGAGAAAUCUGGGCUAAUACCGCAUAACACUUACGAGUCAAAGCAGCAAUGCGCUUGGAGAGGAGUUCGCGGCAGAUUAGCUAGUUGGCGGGGUAAUGGCCCACCAAGGCGAAGAUCGGUA
RNAcentral lists this ribosomal RNA (245 nucleotides) under uncultured bacterium. RNAcentral's name for it is "partial small subunit ribosomal RNA". It matches the Rfam family "Bacterial small subunit ribosomal RNA", at positions 26 to 285 of the family's 1533-position model. The record is from RNAcentral.